Molecule: ribosomal RNA, 499 nt
Filed under: uncultured bacterium
Lineage: Bacteria
Description: partial 16S ribosomal RNA
Rfam family: Bacterial small subunit ribosomal RNA
Source: RNAcentral
GACGAACGCUGGCGGCGUGCUUAACACAUGCAAGUCGAACGGGCCUGUCUUCUUUUUUGGGGGGUGGGUUGAGUGGCGAACGGGUGAGUAUCACGUGAGUAACCUGCCCUUCGGUCCUGGAUAACCGCUUGAAAGGGCGGCUAAUACGGGGUGGUCCGGUUGGUCCGCAUGGGCUGGUCGGGAUAGAUUCACUGUUUUUGGUGUUUCGGCGGGGGAUGGGCUCGCGGCCUAUCAGCUUGUUGGUGGGGUGAUGGCCUACCAAGGCGGUGACGGGUAGCCGGCCUGAGAGGGUGGGCGGCCACACUGGGACUGAGAUACGGCCCAGACUCCUGCGGGAGGCAGCAGUGGGGGGUAUUGCACAAUGGGCGGAAGCCUGAUGCAGCGACGUCGCGUGAGGGAUGGAGGCCUUCGGGUUGUGAACCUCUGUUUCCGGUGGUGAAGGCCCUGUCCGUGUGGUGGGGUUGACGGUAGCCGGGGAUGAAGCGCCGGCGAACUACGU